AGCGUAGACGGAAUGGCAAGUCUGAUGUGAAAGGCCGGGGCUCAACCCCGGGACUGCAUUGGAAACUGUCAAUCUAGAGUACCGGAGGGGUAAGUGGAAUUCCUAGUGUAGCGGUGAAAUGCGUAGAUAUUAGGAGGAACACCAGUUGCGAAGGCGGCUCUCUGGACUGUAACUGACACUGAGGCACGAAAGCGUGGGGAGCAAACAG
Molecule: ribosomal RNA, 208 nt
Filed under: uncultured bacterium
Lineage: Bacteria
Description: partial 16S ribosomal RNA
Rfam family: Bacterial small subunit ribosomal RNA
Source: RNAcentral